This 468-nucleotide ribosomal RNA is filed under the name uncultured bacterium. Its description in RNAcentral is "partial 16S ribosomal RNA". It matches the Rfam family "Bacterial small subunit ribosomal RNA", at positions 28 to 507 of the family's 1533-position model. The record is from RNAcentral.
GACGAACGCUGGCGGCGUGCUUAACACAUGCAAGUCGAACGGAAAGGCCCUGCUUUUGUGGGGUGCUCGAGUGGCGAACGGGUGAGUAACACGUGAGUAACCUGCCCUUGACUUUGGGAUAACUUCAGGAAACUGGGGCUAAUACCGGAUAGGAGCUCCUGCUGCAUGGUGGGGGUUGGAAAGUUUCGGCGGUUGGGGAUGGACUCGCGGCUUAUCAGCUUGUUGGUGGGGUAGUGGCUUACCAAGGCUUUGACGGGUAGCCGGCCUGAGAGGGUAACCGGCCACAUUGGGACUGAGAUACGGCCCAGACCCCUACGGGAGGCAGCAGUGGGGAAUAUUGCACAAUGGGCGGAAGCCUGAUGCAGCAACGCCGCGUGCGGGAUGACGGCCUUCGGGUUGUAAACCGCUUUCGCCUGUGACGAAGCGUGAGUGACGGUAAUGGGUAAAGAAGCACCGGCUAACUACGUG